This 164-nucleotide small nuclear RNA is filed under the name Staphylococcus aureus. RNAcentral describes it as "SAUSA300s274". The record is from RNAcentral. Lineage: Bacteria; Bacillati; Bacillota; Bacilli; Caryophanales; Staphylococcaceae.
AUAAUGAGUAGGAGUUUUAGGGCUAUUAUUUACAAAUAAUAUAAUACUGCAAAGACUCGAAAUUAUUUAGAAUUCCAGUUAUCGUAACAAUAGUUGCAGUUAUUUUAGUUCCAUUAGUGUAUUUAGGUUUAAAAUGAGUAAUAUUAAUUUGAAGAAGCAUUAAG